UACGGAGGAUCCAAGCGUUAUCCGGAAUUACUGGGCGUAAAGAGUUGCGUAGGUGGCAUUGUAAGUUGGUAGUGAAAGCGUUCGGCUCAACCGGAUAAACAUUACCAAAACUACAAAGCUAGAGGACGAGAGAGGUUAUUGGAAUUCCUAGUGUAGGAGUGAAAUCCGUAGAUAUUAGGAGGAACACCGAUGGCGUAGGCAGAUAACUGGCUCGUUCCUGACACUAAGGCACGAAAGCGUGGGGAGCAAACGGG
This 254-nucleotide ribosomal RNA is filed under the name uncultured bacterium. RNAcentral's name for it is "partial 16S ribosomal RNA". It matches the Rfam family "Bacterial small subunit ribosomal RNA", at positions 524 to 776 of the family's 1533-position model. The record is from RNAcentral.